RNAcentral lists this transfer RNA (71 nucleotides) under Stegodyphus mimosarum. It matches the Rfam family "tRNA". From Rfam's summary of the family: Transfer RNA (tRNA) molecules are approximately 80 nucleotides in length. Their secondary structure includes four short double-helical elements and three loops (D, anti-codon, and T loops). The record is from Rfam by way of RNAcentral. Lineage: Eukaryota; Metazoa; Arthropoda; Arachnida; Araneae; Eresidae.
GCCUUCACGGUGUAACGGUAGCGCUCUCGGCUCAUAUUGGAGAGGUCCAGGUUCGAGUCCCGGCGAGGGCA